RNAcentral lists this ribosomal RNA (440 nucleotides) under uncultured bacterium. RNAcentral describes it as "partial 16S ribosomal RNA". It matches the Rfam family "Bacterial small subunit ribosomal RNA", at positions 338 to 795 of the family's 1533-position model. The record is from RNAcentral.
CCUACGGGCGGCAGCAGUGGGGAAUAUUGCACAAUGGGGGAAACCCUGAUGCAGCGACGCCGCGUGAGUGAGGAAGUAUUUCGGUAUGUAAAGCUCUAUCAGCAGGGAAGAAAAUGACGGUACCUGACUAAGAAGCCCCGGCUAACUACAUGCCAGCAGCCGCGGUAAUACGUAGGGGGCAAGCGUUAUCCGGAUUUACUGGGUGUAAAGGGAGCGUAGGCGGCGAUGCAAGUCAGAAGUGAAAGCCCGGGGCUCAACUCCGGGACUGCUUUUGAAACUGUAUGGCUAGAGUGCAGGAGAGGCAAGUGGAAUUCCUAGUGUAGCGGUGAAAUGCGUAGAUAUUAGGAGGAACACCAGUGGCGAAGGCGGCUUGCUGGACUGUAAAUGACGCUGAGGCUCGAAAGCGUGGGGAGCAAACAGGAUUAGAUACCCUAGUAGUC